RNAcentral lists this ribosomal RNA (408 nucleotides) under uncultured bacterium. Its description in RNAcentral is "partial 16S ribosomal RNA". It matches the Rfam family "Bacterial small subunit ribosomal RNA", at positions 29 to 526 of the family's 1533-position model. The record is from RNAcentral.
AGUGAACGCUGGCGGCGUGCCUAAUACAUGCAAGUCGAACGAAGUGGCGCACGGGUGAGUAAUAUAUAGUUAAUCUACCCUACACAGAGGAACAACAGUUGGAAACGACUGCUACUACCUCAUAGUGUAGGAUGAGACUAUAUCGUAUCAGCUCGUUGGUAAGGUAAUGGAUUACCAAGUCUAUGACGCGUAACUGGGCUGAGAGGAUUAGCAGUCAAAUUGGAACUGAGACACGGGCCAAACUCCUACGGGAGGCAGCAGUAAGGAAUAGUGCGCAAUGGGGGAAAACCUGACGCAGCGUCGGCGGGUGGAGGAUGACACUUUUCGGAGAGUAAACUCCUUUUAUCAGGAAAGCGGUACCUGAUGAAUAAGCACCGGCUAACUCCGUGCCAGCAGCCGCGGUAAUAC